GAUGAACGCUGGCGGCGUGCCUAAUACAUGCAAGUCGAGCGAACAGAUAAGGAGCUUGCUCCUUUGACGUUAGCGGCGGACGUGUGAGUAACACGUGGAUAACCUACCUAUAAGACUGGGAUAACUUCGGGAAACCGGAGCUAAUACCGGAUAACAUAUUGAACCGCAUGGUUCAAUAGUGAAAGGCGGCUUUGCUGUCACUUAUAGAGGGAUCCGCGCCGUAUUAGCUAGUUGGUAAGGUAACGGCUUACCAAGGCAACGAUACGUAGCCGACCUGAGAGGGUGAUCGGCCACACUGGAACUGAGACACGGUCCAGACUCCUACGGGAGGCAGCAGUAGGGAAUCUUCCGCAAUGGGCGAAAGCCUGACGGAGCAACGCCGCGUGAGUGAUGAAGGUCUUCGGAUCGUAAAACUCUGUUAUCAGGGAAGAACAAAUGUGUAAGUAACUGUGCACAUCUUGACGGUACCUGAUCAGAAAGCCACGGCUAACUACGUG
This 497-nucleotide ribosomal RNA is filed under the name uncultured bacterium. RNAcentral's name for it is "partial 16S ribosomal RNA". It matches the Rfam family "Bacterial small subunit ribosomal RNA", at positions 28 to 507 of the family's 1533-position model. The record is from RNAcentral.